GAGUUUGAUCCUGGCUCAGGACGAACGCUGGCGGCGUGCCUAAUACAUGCAAGUCGAACGAAACUUUCUUACACCGAAUGCUUGCAUUCAACGUAAGAAGUUGAGUGGCGGACGGGUGAGUAACACGUGGGUAACCUGCCUAAAAGAAGGGGAUAACACUUGGAAACAGGUGCUAAUACCGUAUAUCUCUAAGGAUCGCAUGAUCCUUAGAUGAAAGAUGGUUCUGCUAUCGCUUUUAGAUGGACCCGCGGCGUAUUAACUAGUUGGUGGGGUAACGGCCUACCAAGGUGAUGAUACGUAGCCGAACUGAGAGGUUGAUCGGCCACAUUGGGACUGAGACACGGCCCAAACUCCUACGGGAGGCAGCAGUAGGGAAUCUUCCACAAUGGACGCAAGUCUGAUGGAGCAACGCCGCGUGAGUGAAGAAGGUCUUCGGAUCGUAAAACUCUGUUGUUAGAGAAGAACACGAGUGAGAGUAACUGCUCAUUCGAUGACGGUAUCUAACCAGCAAGUCACGGCUAACUACGUGCCAGCAGCCGCGGUAAUACGUAGGUGGCAAGCGUUGUCCGGAUUUAUUGGGCGUAAAGGGAACGCAGGCGGUCUUUUAAGUCUGAUGUGAAAGCCUUCGGCUUAACCGGAGUAGUGCAUUGGAAACUGGAAGACUUGAGUGCAGAAGAGGAGAGUGGAACUCCAUGUGUAGCGGUGAAAUGCGUAGA
Molecule: ribosomal RNA, 716 nt
Filed under: uncultured bacterium
Lineage: Bacteria
Description: bacterial SSU rRNA
Rfam family: Bacterial small subunit ribosomal RNA
Source: RNAcentral